UACGUAGGUGGCAAGCGUUAUCCGGAUUUACUGGGUGUAAAGGGAGCGUAGACGGCAUGGCAAGCCAGAUGUGAAAGCCCGGGGCUCAACCCCGGGACUGCAUUGGAAACUGUCGCGCUCGAGUGUCGGAGAGGUAAGUGGAAUUCCUAGUGUAGCGGUGGAAUGCGUAGAUAUUAGGAGGAACACCAGUGGCGAAGGCGAUUUGCUGGACUGUAACUGACACUGAGGCACGAAAGCGUGGGGAGCAAACAGG
RNAcentral lists this ribosomal RNA (253 nucleotides) under uncultured Lachnospiraceae bacterium. Its description in RNAcentral is "partial 16S ribosomal RNA". It matches the Rfam family "Bacterial small subunit ribosomal RNA", at positions 524 to 776 of the family's 1533-position model. The record is from RNAcentral. Lineage: Bacteria; Bacillati; Bacillota; Clostridia; Lachnospirales; Lachnospiraceae.